UGAAGGAAAGGGAUUGUAUGACUGAAGCUUAAGUGAAUAUCCUGGUCCAAAAGCCAGGGCGUGCCCGGCAGAGUACAUCUCUCCCCAGAGUGGAAGUCCUGUGGAGGCGAGAGUGCUGCUGGGAGUGAGUCAUACUCGGGCCACUUCGUCUGCCAGGAUGGACUGUUUGUCCAGCCCAGACAAACAGUCCAUGUUCUAUCGCACAGAUAAUGAAACUCAAACAUCUGAAAUUGCUACUGCUGCAUAGGUGUACAUACCAGUUCCUGUUUCUGGUUCCGCCUAAUUUACCUUGGCACUAUUUGCACAGAAGUCAAAUAUUUGGUGCCUUGAGACAAGUGCAGAGCAAAUCUGGGGGUGUGGCCUGUACACGUCACUUUCCACAGUGCAGACUGCCUGGCUUUGUCCAUUUAGCUUUCAGAGCUACUUCUUUCCCAGGAAAACAGCAAAGGCGGGGAAUGCAGUCCAGAGUACUGCGCUAGGAAGCAGAAGUCCAAUGGCAUGACCUGAGACAGGCGAUCGGCUUUUCCGAGUCUCAGAUUCCUCAUCCGGAGCACUGGGGCCAAGGUUAAGGCUUUUUAGGGAUUUUAAACAAGCAAAUGAGAAAUGCAUAAAAUUGUUGUUUAUGUUGUUUAAAUAAUUAAACAAAAAUCUCAGGCAGUGACAGCCACUAUAGAUGACUGAAGAAGCACAAAGUCUUGGCCACCAAUGGCCUCGUCACCAAGGAGCUGUUUGCAGACAGUGCUCACCCCGAAACUUUCCUCUUCUCACUGAAGAAAGCAGGGCCUCUCGAAACUGCUCAGACUGUGCUGGGAGAUCCAAGUGUCUCCAAGAAACACAGAGGGCUGAGGAGGAUAACAUGCCAUCCUGCUGACGGCUAGACGAGGCAAACCUCCUGAUCCUCAGUGUUUCAAUCUAGAAACAGCAGGACCAUUGUGAAGUCUGUAUUCAGUCCUGGACACCAAGCAAUCACUGCAGGAAAAAGAAGAGUCUCUGGAAUUAAUACAAAAGCUCAUUCCUACCUAAGUCCACAUGGAACAAGAAGUGGAAUUCGUCAGAGGAUCAAUGGUGAUGCCACACCCAAGUGGUGAAAUGGAGACCCCAAGCAUUACCUGACACUGGCUUAUUUUUACUGAUUCCCUAGACCAAUGCUGUCCAAUAGAAAUACAGUCAUCAACUGCAUAUAUAAUUUAAAUGUUCUAGAAGUUGUGUUUUAAAAGUGACAACAAGCCGGGGAUUAAGCUCAGUGGUUCCACCGCCUGCCUUUGAAAGCGCAAGGUCAGGAGUUUGAUCCCCGGUACCAAAAAAAAAAAAAAGUGACAACAAAACAGAUUUCAGUCCAUGGGCAGCUGGCCCCAAGACAGAAACAACACGGUGGAAGGGAAAGCUGCUUACUCGGCGGACAGGAAGCAGAGCAGAGGGGCAGAACCUGAGCGAAGGCAAUGGGGAGCAGAUACAGCGGGAAGGUCACGCCCCAUGACCGCCUCCUCCAACGAGGGUCCGCCUCUCAACCGCCGUUCUUCCGUUCCUCCGGCUCCGCUGCGGUGCCUUCGCCAGCCAGGCGCAUAGUCCAGUCUCUGCAGCCAAACUGAGGAUUAGGGCAACGAGAGCACGGUCCUGAAGGGCGGCUCAGGCCUCCGAGUUUAUACUUUCUGACCUAUAGGAGUAGCCUCACUUUGUUCCACUCCCAUGUUCCUACACUUGUUCUCUCUCCCGCACUAGCUUAUCUUAAAUCUAAGUUUGAAUGAGUUACAUUGUUUUUAAUUUGUCUUAAUGGUCCACUCAGGGAUACAGUUUGAAUUAUUGGACUGGCUGUGGAGGUAUCCUUCCUUCCUUCCUUCCUUCCUUCCUUCCUUCCUUCCUUCUCUUUUCUUUUUUUAAUGAAAGCACAUGUUUUUAAGUGGAACCUAUGGGAAUAUAAUUUGAGACUUAGUAUGCAGAGUUAUUAGAAUGGCAAUUAUAACUAAAUAAACAUACAUCAGUUCACAGUAGCUGAUCUCAAUUAACCUGGUAUGGGCAGCUUUCUCCCACAUAGAACAGCAAAAUUCCUCGUGACAUUGGCAUCUACUGACUUUGUGCUGAAGUGGUCAGGAAAAGAAAGGCAGAGUUGAUGACUAAGAUAACAACUGAGGUGUGAGGUGUUAGCAGUAGUUGUUAUGUUUGUAGAUCUCUUUUUGGACACAAAAUUCACCACAGUGUGAUUAUGUAUAUUUAAAAUUGUACUUAUGUUUGUGCAUAUGACGUAUGUGUACACCCCAGCCAAACCUCAUUGUGAACAUGAACAUUAGUGGAUACUUUAGUGCAAGUCUCAGCAAACUGUGACCCACAAGCCAAGUCUAGCCUCACAGUUGCUUGCUUUUCUCUUUCUUGAAACCAAAUUUGAUUCAUACUGAAAAUGAACAAUACCAAACUUCACAUGAUCAAAAGAAUCUACCAGUAAUUGACCUGCAUGACUCAGGAAGCAGAAUGUCCUUUAGAGAAUGACAAUGCAAUCUUGUAAUCUUGUAAAUGCCCAGGAUACAAUUAAAUUUCAUCAGAAUGCAAAGAGAAAAAUGAGAAUCAUAAGAGAAAAAGACAUGUAUUAAAAAUAUUUGUGAGAUGACCCUGUUGUUAGGAUUAGCAGAAAAAAAUUUAAAGUAGCUUCUAUAAAUACGUUCAAGAGAAAAUAAAGAGAGAAAUCCCAAGGACUAAAUAGUAUGUGAAAUUAAAAAUUCACGAACUAGGCUUAUCGUCAGUUUGUGAACUGCAAAUUUCAUCAGUUAACUUGAAGACAGACCACGUGGGAUUAUCCAGUCUAAAGACCAGAAAGAAAAGGGCCAGGGAUUUAGCUCAGUGGCGUCGUGGUCAUGACUUGGAUCCCCGGUACAGCAAAGAGAAAAAAAAAAA
Heterocephalus glaber (naked mole-rat) is the source of this 2883-nucleotide non-coding RNA. NCBI's taxonomy places the organism in Eukaryota, Metazoa, Chordata, Mammalia, Rodentia, Bathyergidae. The record is from RefSeq and is a predicted model, not a curated record.